RNAcentral lists this ribosomal RNA (252 nucleotides) under uncultured bacterium. RNAcentral describes it as "partial 16S ribosomal RNA". It matches the Rfam family "Bacterial small subunit ribosomal RNA", at positions 524 to 776 of the family's 1533-position model. The record is from RNAcentral.
UACGUAGGUCCCGAGCGUUGUCCGGAUUUAUUGGGCGUAAAGCGAGCGCAGGUGGUUUAUUAAGUCUGGUGUAAAGGGCAGUGGCUCAACCAUUGUAUGCAUUGGAAACUGGUAGACUUGAGUGCAGGAGAGGAGAGUGGAAUUCCAUGUGUAGCGGUGAAAUGCGUAGAUAUAUGGAGGAACACCGGUGGCGAAAGCGGCUCUCUGGCCUGUAACUGACACUGAGGUUCGAAAGCGUGGGUAGCAAACAGG